UCAUGUUAGACACGCCUCUAUGUCCAAGGAACACCGCUUCAUACAUACACUGUUGUUAGCGACGUAGCCUCUACGGCCAGUUUCAUUUUUGACAUUUAUAUUUGAGACUACUUCUCAUAACUCCACUGUUUGUCACGGCAAGGUGAAUGCACGAAUAGCGGUUUACUGGUUGGGUCCUGGUACACUGGUGUGUCAAAUUGUUGCUGGUGGCAGUCCUGCGAGCCCUUUGAGUAUGCAUGUACAAUGAAGAGGCGUGUGGAGGACCAGGAACCAAUAUUCGCGCCCCAGCAACAGCAAACACGUCGUCCCCCAGUUCAAGGCAUUGCAGACAACUUCCAACACCGGGCACUCACCCCGGCCUCUACUGUGAUAGAGGCAGCUGCAGACAACAUGCAGCCAUCCACAGGCAUCCAGUAUUCUCUCCCCCAAGGCUACCAGGUGCCUACAAUGCCUCAGAGCACAAGUGGACACGGACAUGGACAUAACAAUGCUGCACCUCAUGUUGGUCCCCAUGCACACAGCCUGACAGUUCAGUCCCAGGGCCCUGCAUUGGUCCAAGGUCACGUUCAUCCCCCUGCACCCAUGACUUCAACCCAAGGACAGCAGUUUCAGCGACUGAAGGUUGAAGAUGCCUUAUCCUAUCUGGAUCAAGUGAAGCUGCAGUUUGGAAACCAGCCACAAGUUUAUAAUGAUUUCCUUGAUAUAAUGAAAGAGUUCAAGUCACAGAGCAUAGACACUCCUGGAGUCAUUAACCGUGUGUCCCAGCUUUUCAAGGGCCAUCCAGACCUCAUUAUGGGUUUUAACACGUUCUUGCCACCUGGAUAUAAAAUUGAGGUUCAAACCAACGAUCUAGUCAAUGUGACCACUCCAGGUCAGAUCCACUACAUCACCCCUCAUGGUAUUUCUGUUCAGAACAUCCCUAUAAGUGGAGCAUCCAGCCAACCUGCAAGCCACAACCAGCACCAGAGUCUGCCACAGGCGGGUCCGCACACUACCACCUCUACCACAACCACAUUACCCACCCCCACUCCCACCCCCACCCAACCUGCAUCAAAACAAACCAGCAAGCCAAUUCAGUCUCCAGCCCACACACCCACCAGCCAGCCCAACCCAUCCAUCCCAUCCUACGCCUCACCGCGCUCACCUUCGGUUCAGUCCCACACUCCUGUGAGCAGCACGCCGUCCAGUGGGCCACCUCUCCAGAACAACCAGCCUGUGGAGUUCAACCACGCUAUAAAUUAUGUCAACAAGAUCAAGAACCGCUUCCAGGGUCAGCCAGACAUCUACAAAGCCUUCCUGGAAAUCCUUCACACAUACCAGAAGGAACAACGAAAUGCUAAAGAGGCAGGAAGCAACUACACGCCAGCACUGACUGAGCAGGAGGUCUACACUCAGGUGGCAAGACUCUUCAAGAACCAGGAAGACCUGCUCUCAGAGUUUGGACAGUUCCUGCCAGAUGCAAACAGCUCAAUGCUGCUGUGCAAGGCUACACCAGACAGGGCAGAGUCUGUGCGUAAUGAUCAUGGCGGCACAGUAAAGAGACCCUUACUGAACAGCAAACAGAGACUGAGCCAGAAUGGCAUGCCCAUCAGGAGACCGGCUGGAUUGGGAGCUACACCGCCUGUCAAGAAGAAGCCCAAAAUAUUGGGGAAGGACCAAGGCAUGACUGAAGUCAGCAAACACAGCACCAGCACCGAAACUAUGUUCUUUGAGAAGGUGAAGAAGGCUCUUCGGAGCUCUGAGGCGUAUGACAACUUCCUGCGUUGUCUUCACAUUUUCAACCAGGAAGUGAUCUCUCGUGCCGAGCUGGUCCAGUUAGUCAUCCCAUUUCUUGGAAAAUUCCCGGAGCUUUUUACAUGGUUUAAAAACUUCCUGGGCUACCGAGAGUCUAGUCACGGAGAGUCGAGCCAUGCAGAGAGUUUACCCAAGGAGCGUGCAACAGAGGGCAUCGCCAUGGAGAUUGACUAUGCUUCCUGUAAGAGGCUGGGGUCCAGCUAUAGAGCACUCCCGAAAAGCUACCAGCAGCCCAAGUGCACAGGAAGGACGCCGCUGUGCAGAGAGGUUCUGAAUGACACAUGGGUGUCGUUUCCAUCGUGGUCUGAGGAUUCUACCUUUGUGAGCUCCAAGAAGACUCAAUAUGAGGAGCACAUUUACAGAUGUGAAGACGAGCGCUUUGAGCUGGAUGUCGUAUUGGAAGCCAACCUUUCCACAAUACGAGCCCUGGAGGCAGUGCAGCGGAGGCUUUCUCGUAUGUCAGCCGAGGAGCAGCUGCGCUUCAAGCUGGACAACACAAUGGGCGGCUCUUCGGAGGUCAUUCACCGCAAAGCUAUCCAAAGGAUAUAUGGAGACAAGGCCCAUGACAUCAUCGAUGGCCUCAAGAAGAACCCUGCUGUGUCUGUUCCCAUAGUGCUGAAAAGAUUAAAAAUGAAGGAAGAGGAGUGGAGAGAAGCCCAGAGAGGCUUCAACAAAAUCUGGCGGGAGCAAAAUGAAAAGUAUUACCUGAAGUCACUGGACCAUCAAGGCAUCAACUUCAAGCAGAAUGACACCAAAGUGUUGCGUUCAAAGACCUUACUCAAUGAAAUUGAGAUGCUAUAUGAUGACCACCAGGAUCGUGCAUCUGAGGAGACUGCCACACCACCACCGAGCGGCCCACACAUCACACAGUGCUACGAGGACAGCCAAAUCAUGGAGGACGCUGCCGCCCUCAUCAUCCACCACGUAAAAAGACAGGUGGGCAUCCAGAAAGAAGACAAGUACAAGAUCAAGCAGAUCAUCCACCACUUCAUCCCUGACCUGCUGUUCGCACGGCGAGGGGAGCUCUCGGACGUUGAGGAGGAGGAGGAGGAAGAAGAGGAGGAGGAAGAAGAAGACAUGGAGAUGGAUCCAGCCGGCCCCAAGAAGCACAAUGGCCUGCCAGGCAGCAGCCCAUCAAAGUCCAAGCUCCUCUUCAGCAACACGGCAGCUCAGAAGCUGCGAGGCACAGAUGACGCCUAUAACAUGUUCUUUGUGAACAACUACUGGUAUAUAUUCCUUCGUCUUCACCACAUCCUCUGUUCUCGUUUGCUGCGGAUCUACGGGCAAGCCGAGAAGCAGAUUGAGGAGGAUGCCCGUGAGCGAGAGUGGGAAAGAGAAGUGUUGGGGCUCAAAAGGGAGAAAAAUGAAAAUCCAGCAAUCCAGCUGAAGAUGAAGGAGCCAAUGGAUGUCGAUGUAGAGGAUUAUUACUCAGUGUUUCUGGAAAUGGUGCGUAAUCUUUUGGAUGGAAACAUGGAGCCGACUCAAUACGAAGACUCCCUGAGGGAAAUGUUUACUAUCCAUGCCUACAUUGCCUUCACCAUGGACAAACUCAUCCAGAGCAUCGUCCGGCAGCUCCAGCACCUUGUCACUGAUGACGUAUGUACGCGUGUAACGGACAUGUACCUGAGCGAGAGUGCCAAUAAAGCCACGGGGGGCACACUGUCCACGCAGACAUCCAGGGCCACAGCAGAGGGGACCUACCAGCGCAAAGCGGAGCAGCUCAUGUCUGAUGAGAACUGCUUCAAGUUGAUGUUUCUAAAAAGCCGAGGAUCUGUCAGUCUGGCCAUGGAGCUGCUGGACACCGAAGAGGAGAACUCUGAUGAGCCAGCGGAGGCAGAGAGGUGGUCAGACUACGUGGGUAGAUACCUGAAUUCCGAUUCUGCAUCCCCAGAGCUGCGUGAGCAUCUGUCCCAGAAGCCGGUUUUCCUCCCCAGUCCCCGCUCACCUGUACCCUCAGUGGAAUUUGAGACGGAUAAGGAAGUGCCAGAGAGGAUGGGAGCAACUACAGCAGGAGAGAAUGAACAAGGUCCCCUCGGACAAGUCGCAGGGCGGCACCAGUGAGCUGAAGAUGGAGUGCAUGUUCAAGCUCAACUCCUACAAGAUGGUCUAUGUCUGCAAGUCAGAAGAUUACAUGUACAGGCACACAGCACUCACACGAGCUCAUCAGUCCCAAGAGCGGGUCAACACACGCCUGCACAGGCGUUUUCAUGCCUGGCUGGACACAUGGGCCAAAGAGCACGUGACCAGCGACAUGGCUGCCGACAACCGCAAGUGGCUGAUGGGAGAAAGACGAGAAGGCCUAUUGCCCUGCACCACCAGUUGCAACCCUGAGGUCCUCCAUUAUAUCAACGUUAACAAGUAUCGGGUGAAGUACAGAACACUGUAGUUUCCCUUUAUUGAA
Etheostoma cragini (Arkansas darter) is the source of this 4195-nucleotide RNA transcript. It is a transcript of the gene named paired amphipathic helix protein Sin3a-like, with no coding region annotated. The transcript has 22 exons. NCBI's taxonomy places the organism in Eukaryota, Metazoa, Chordata, Actinopteri, Perciformes, Percidae. The record is from RefSeq and is a predicted model, not a curated record.